GUGAAAGUUCUGGGUGCGAAAAUAAGUGCCAGUCAAAUGUACUUUUAUGACAGGACAAGCAGAACUCUCUUAGCAGCGGAGUAAGCUAAAAAAAAAUAAGCCCUUAUCUGUUUUCUGUGUUUAAAUUGCUCCAUCAGUAUGGUAUUUAAGUGUCAUGACUUUUAAUGUAUUUACCAUUACAGCACCCUUAGGAUACAUGGCUGUGCUAGUCUGCCCAUUUAAAAGAUGAAGAAAUGAAGCAUAAAGAAGACUCUUUUUUCAUGGACCAGAAGUCCCCUUUCUACAGCAAGAUACUUAGCCAUAUGUACCCUUCCUAACUUUGAUCUUCCCAAGAUUUGGAUGUGCUACCUCUCUGUUUGCAGUGACCUCACCACUCACUCCUGCCACUUGCUUGUGUAUUGCUCUUUGUCUGUAAGGGUAAAGUAUUUUACCAGGAAUAUGUUUGGAGACUCUGGGUUCUGGUCCUGUGCGCUUUGAUUUCUCGGAGGAGCCUAUAUAAUCUGUGGACUCUGGACAGGUUUGCUAGAUCUAACUGUUGAACAGCACUGCUUGUUUCAACCAGGUAAUGUUUAUAAAAUAUGAUGCAAUGGUGGGAGUAGGCUCUUACUGUUAAGUUCACAGCUGAUACCGUGUGGCACUGAGUCAGUGUCCUCUGAAUAUUCCGUGCUGCUACUGCAAAUAAAUGCACCAGCUUCCGUCUUAAUAGCUUACUU
Molecule: long non-coding RNA, 713 nt
Filed under: Dromaius novaehollandiae (emu)
Lineage: Eukaryota; Metazoa; Chordata; Aves; Casuariiformes; Dromaiidae
Description: lncRNA (ENSDNVG00000015094.1)
Source: RNAcentral